Long non-coding RNA from Nothoprocta perdicaria, 102 nucleotides. RefSeq lists it as uncharacterized. The transcript is spliced from 2 exons. NCBI's taxonomy places the organism in Eukaryota, Metazoa, Chordata, Aves, Tinamiformes, Tinamidae. The record is from RefSeq and is a predicted model, not a curated record.
AGAAGCAGCGGAUUUCUGCCGCGCGGUUGUGAUUUAGAAGGAGCCGGACGGGCUAUCUCACGCUUCCUCCUUUAGGAUGGAAGGACGGAUAUAAACUCAGCU